AGACGGAAGUGGGGCAAAGCCACCAAAUCUCAUAUUUUCACAAGGAAAAGAGGGCUGCGCGAUUCUGCUCGGUCCGCUUUCCACCAGCCCCUCGCCGGCGCGACUCUCCGCAAAGUUCAGGGGGGUCUUCUCGGCGCGACGGGGCGAAAAGCACAGCCGAGCCGACCAAAAGGAGGCUCCUCUUCAUUUAAAGAAGAGAGUCGGGGGGAGAAAAAAGGAAAGGAAAAGCGCUGCCUUUCCCCAGCCAGGCAUCCCCUCCCACCUCCAUUCAAGCCAGUCUGCGAGUCACAAACACACACACACACUCACAAACAGGCGCACACGCGCGCACACUCGCCCACCAGCCCUCCCGGUCCCCUCCCCCCCACAAACAACAAAUUUGCUAAUCAAUCUGAAGCAAGGACGGAGGGAGAGCGAGAGCCUCGAAGGGAGUUAAUAGCACCCGAGUGUCUUGAAAGGUGUCCAACAAGCAGCAAAACCGGCGGCGGCGGCGGCGGCGGCGCCUGGCGUCCGGGAACUCCGCUCCUUUCUGUCCAUAGCCAGCCCCCUCCCCUCUUUUCCAAAAAAAUAAAAAUAAAGAUUUUUUUUUGGCUUCUUCCUUUGCCAACAGGAACCAGGCUUAAUGCAAGGGGGGGGGGAACAAAAAUCUGCGGCUUUUCCCAAACGGUGACGCGGCGGUGUCUUUUUUUAUUAUUAUUAUUUCCUUCCCCUUCCUCUCUGUCUCCGCUCCGGCCCCUGAACCGCGAAGGACGAGGAUUUGGAAAAAGAAAAAAAGCUCCCAAAAAUAAAAGAUUAUUUCUUCUCUUCUUCAAGGUUACUUUGCGAGGUUGUUUGUUUGUUUUUUGUUCUCCUCCCUCGCUUGUCUCCGCGUCUUCCUCUCCUUUUCCCCUCGAAUUCUUCUUCUCCUCCUUAUUUUCUUUUGCUUUUUUCCUUGCUUGCCUGGGCUUUUUCCAAGGUGGCGGUGGUGGUGGUGGGCACGGCAGCCGCGAGCGCGCUCACAUCCUCGCCGCUCCACGCUCCGACCCAGACUGA
RNAcentral lists this long non-coding RNA (1032 nucleotides) under Pogona vitticeps (central bearded dragon). RNAcentral describes it as "lncRNA (ENSPVIG00000014864.1)". The record is from RNAcentral. Lineage: Eukaryota; Metazoa; Chordata; Lepidosauria; Squamata; Agamidae.